GACGAACGCUGGCGGCGUGCCUAACACAUGCAAGUCGAGCGGAGAAACAAAAGAGCAGCUUGCUGCGAUUUGUUUCUUAGCGGCGGACGGGUGAGUAACGCGUGGGUAAUCUGCCUCAAACAGGGGGAUAACACAGGGAAACUUGUGCUAAUACCGCAUAAGACCCCACCAUGGCAUCAUGGAGAGGUCAAAGGAAGAAAUUCCGGUUUGAGAUGAGCCCGCGUCUGAUUAGCUAGUUGGUGAGGUAACGGCUCACCAAGGCGACGAUCAGUAGCCGAACUGAGAGGUUGAUCGGCCACAUUGGGACUGAGACACGGCCCAGACUCCUACGGGAGGCAGCAGUGGGGAAUAUUGCACAAUGGGGGAAACCCUGAUGCAGCGACGCCGCGUGAAGGAAGAAGGCCCUCGGGUUGUAAACUUCUUUGACCAGGGACGAAGAAAGUGACGGUACCUGGAGAACAAGCCACGGCUAACUACGUGCCAGCAGCCGCGGUAAAGCUAACGU
RNAcentral lists this ribosomal RNA (505 nucleotides) under uncultured bacterium. RNAcentral describes it as "bacterial SSU rRNA". It matches the Rfam family "Bacterial small subunit ribosomal RNA", at positions 28 to 532 of the family's 1533-position model. The record is from RNAcentral.